Molecule: unclassified non-coding RNA, 284 nt
Filed under: plant metagenome
Description: partial contains small subunit ribosomal RNA, internal transcribed spacer 1, and 5.8S ribosomal RNA
Rfam family: Eukaryotic small subunit ribosomal RNA (bases 1-53)
Source: RNAcentral
GGAAGUAAAGUCGUAACAAGGUUUCCGUAGGUGAACCUGCGGAAGGAUCAUUAUUGUAUAACCGAGGUGCGAGGGCUGUCGCUGACCCGAAAGGUCGUGCACGCCCGAGUGCCCUCACACACAUCCAUCUCACCCCUAUGUGCACCACCGCGUGGGUCCCCCUUUGGCUUGUUCGGAGGGGGGCUUACGUUUUCACACAAACUUUGUAUGCAGUGUAGAAUGUAUUUUUUGUUUUUGCGAUCACGCAAUCAGUACAACUUUCAACAACGGAUCUCUUGGCUCUC